CGGAUGUGAAAUCCCCGGGCUCAACCUGGGAACUGCAUUCGAAACUGGCAGGCUAGAGUCUUGUAGAGGGGGGUAGAAUUCCAGGUGUAGCGGUGAAAUGCGUAGAGAUCUGGAGGAAUACCGGUGGCGAAGGCGGCCCCCUGGACAAAGACUGACGCUCAGGUGCGAAAGCGUGGGGAGCAAACAGGAUUAGAUACCCUGGUAGUCCACGCCGUAAACGAUGUCGAUUUGGAGGUUGUGCCCUUGAGGCGUGGCUUCCGGAGCUAACGCGUUAAAUCGACCGCCUGGGGAGUACGGCCGCAAGGUUAAAACUCAAAUGAAUUGACGGGGGCCCGCACAAGCGGUGGAGCAUGUGGUUUAAUUCGAU
Molecule: ribosomal RNA, 367 nt
Filed under: Klebsiella pneumoniae
Lineage: Bacteria; Pseudomonadati; Pseudomonadota; Gammaproteobacteria; Enterobacterales; Enterobacteriaceae
Description: bacterial SSU rRNA
Rfam family: Bacterial small subunit ribosomal RNA
Source: RNAcentral